This 253-nucleotide ribosomal RNA is filed under the name uncultured bacterium. RNAcentral describes it as "partial 16S ribosomal RNA". It matches the Rfam family "Bacterial small subunit ribosomal RNA", at positions 524 to 776 of the family's 1533-position model. The record is from RNAcentral.
UACGUAGGUGGCAAGCGUUAUCCGGAUUUAUUGGGUGUAAAGGGCGCGUAGGCGGGAGCGCAAGUCAGAUGUGAAAACUCAGGGCUCAACCCUGAGCCUGCAUUUGAAACUGUGUUUCUUGAGUGCUGGAGAGGCAAUCGGAAUUCCGUGUGUAGCGGUGAAAUGUGUAGAUAUCGGGAAGAACACCAAUGGCGAAGGCAGGUCUCUGGGCCGUUACUGACGCUGAGGAGCGAAAGCGUGGGGAGCGAACAGG